AACCCUGAGCUGCCUCGGAGAGUCCCUCUGACCCCAGAGGGACUAGCCACAAUCUCCAGUUUCCACCAUUGCCUCUUCCACCAGCUUCAAACAACCUUUCUACCCAGUCCCAGGAUAACAAGCACACUUACAUUUCCUGGCUUUCAGGUUUCUUAACGUUUUCCCUGUGAUUUGUUUUCAGCAUCUGUGUAGCAAAGAAACCUAGACUCCUGAUCCAGGACAGGAAGACUACAAAAAGAUUGAAAGAAUGGUGGGCUCCAGACAGGAAGAGAACACAAGAUUGUGGAAUCCCGCCCCCUCAUCACUGGUCCUGUGAGGAUGGACAGUCCUCACCUAAGAGACUGGUUGGAAAAGGCUUCAGCACUUCCCCAUUUUCAUUGUUGAAAGAUUAAGGAUCAGAGUUGGGGAUAUAGCUUAGUCAGUAGAGUGCUUGUUUUGCUUAUUUAAGGCCAUGGAUUCAAUUUCCUGCACCACACACACACACACACACACACAGAAUAAGUGAAGGACUGUGGGGAAUGGGGUUGUCAUUAAGUGGUAGAGUGCUUUUCUAGUAUGUGUGAGGUACUGGGUUGAACACCCAGCACCACAUUAAAAAAAAAGAAAAAAGGAAAGAAAGAAACAAACAAACUAAUAAUGAUAUUGUAUCUA
RNAcentral lists this long non-coding RNA (651 nucleotides) under Marmota monax (woodchuck). Lineage: Eukaryota; Metazoa; Chordata; Mammalia; Rodentia; Sciuridae. The record is from RNAcentral.